CAGAGCACUUCAACAAAGAGAUUGAACAUCCAUUGGGUCACUAUUGCUGUAUGCUGGGGACCUGGGGAUAAAUACAACAGAGUGAUAGGUGGAGUAGUUUGAGUAUGACCAGGGAUCAGAGGGGCAAUUAACCCUUUCUAGGGCAGGAAAGGAAGAAAGAUUAAGUAAACUUUCAACAAGGUUACAGAAAUAGGCUUUGAAGCCUUCAUAGACAUUUUCCAGGGAAGUAAGGAGAACACAAUGUUUCAGGCAGAAGAAACAGCCUACAGGAAGUCAUGACUUGUUUGAAGAAUUGCAAGCCCUUUGGGGUGUUAAAGUUUAAAAUGUGCAGUCAUGAUAGUGGGAAUCUGGAAAAGAUAAGAAUAGGAAAUGGAAGAGAUGUUGGGCUGAGAAGAGGAACAGGACAUGAUGUGUUUUUGUAGGCGGGGACCAUGGUAUGACUCUUUAAGAAGCUAUUUGACCCCAUAGCACCAACCACUCAGUAUUGUGACAUAGCACUAUGACUUGGAAGCAUCAUGCCUUAGUCCAUCAGGUUAAAGCCCAGUGGGACACCUUCUAGACACUUUGCCAAUGCUAGGCAAAUUAUUUUAUCUCUUUGAGCCUCAUUGUUUUGUUUCUGGGUUUUUUUUUUCCCAUCUUUUAGCUAACAGAAUUAGUAUAUAUCUUACAGGGUUGUUCUGGUAGGCUAAAAAAAAAAUCCAGUGGCAUGAAAGUACGCAGUAACAUUCCCUGGCACGUAAAUAUUAAUAUCUUCUCUGACAUUCAGAUGAUGGUCUGUAAAUUUGAACUGAAAAUAAUUUCAUUAGACGAUUACAAACAAAUUCAAGGUUAUCGUGAUUAUUAAUAAAUAAUGAAAAAAUGUCACGGAAGAAGAAUGUGUGCUACAGAAGGGAAGGGAAUGGAUGGCAGAGGAAGACAAGGCAGAAGAGUAGAGGGAAGGAGAGAGAAAGAAACGCUAGACACAUUUUUCAUGUAAAUAAAGCCAUAAACAGCCGGUGAAAUGGAUAAAUGGCUCCAGGCGAGCUGCAGCAUUUAAUCAAUGACAAAAGCUGUUCAUCGGGUUCAGUGUAGAAGAGAGGAGCCCAGGGCCAGGACCACAGCCAUGGGACAGCAUAGACUUCAGCAGCCUGAGAAGCAGCAGGAUCUUUG
Long non-coding RNA from Callithrix jacchus (white-tufted-ear marmoset), 1149 nucleotides. RefSeq lists it as uncharacterized. The record is from RefSeq and is a predicted model, not a curated record. NCBI's taxonomy places the organism in Eukaryota, Metazoa, Chordata, Mammalia, Primates, Cebidae.